AUGUUAUUAAUUUGAUAAAGUGCUGAUAGAUUUAUAUGAUUACAUGCGUUAAUUUUUCGGAAUUAUAUAAUGGCAUAAUUAUCAUUGAUUUUUGUGUUUAUUAUAUGCACUUGUAUGAUUAACAAUGCGAAAGAUUCAGGAUACCUUCGGACCCGUCUUGAAACACGGACCAAGGAGUCUAACAUAUGUGCAAGUUAUUGGGAUAUAAACCUAAUAGCGUAAUUAACUUGACUAAUAAUGGAUUAGUUUUUUAGCUAUUUAUAGCUAAUUAACACAAUCCCGGGGCGUUCUAUAUAGUUAUGUAUAAUGUAUAUUUAUAUUAUUUAUGCCUCUAACUGGAACGUACCUUGAGCAUAUAUGCUGUGACCCGAAAGAUGGUGAACUAUACUUGAUCAGGUUGAAGUCAGGGGAAACCCUGAUGGAAGACCGAAACAGUUCUGACGUGCAAAUCGAUUGUCAGAAUUGAGUAUAGGGGCGAAAGACCAAUCGAACCAUCUAGUAGCUGGUUCCUUCCGAAGUUUCCCUCAGGAUAGCUGGUGCAUUUUAAUAUUAUAUAAAAUAAUCUUAUCUGGUAAAGCGAAUGAUUAGAGGCCUUAGGGUCGAAACGAUCUUAACCUAUUCUCAAACUUUAAAUGGGUAAGAACCUUAACUUUCUUGAUAUGAAGUUCAAGGUUAUGAUAUAAUGUGCCCAGUGGGCCACUUUUGGUAAGCAGAACUGGCGCUGUGGGAUGAACCAAACGUAAUGUUACGGUGCCCAAAUUAACAACUCAUGCAGAUACCAUGAAAGCGUUGGUUGCUUAAAACAGCAGGACGGUGAUCAUGGAAGUCGAAAUCCGCUAAGGAGUGUGUAACAACUCACCUGCCGAAGCAACUAGCCCUUAAAAUGGAUGGCGCUUAAGUUUAUACCUAUACAUUACCGCUAAAGUAGAUGAUUUAUAUUACUUGUGAUAUAAAUUUUGAAACUUUAGUGAGUAGGAAGGUACAAUGGUAUGCGUAGAAGUGUUUGGCGUAAGCCUGCAUGGAGCUGCCAUUGGUACAGAUCUUGGUGGUAGUAGCAAAUAAUCGAAUGAGACCUUGGAGGACUGAAGUGGAGAAGGGUUUCGUGUGAACAGUGGUUGAUCACGAGUUAGUCGGUCCUAAGUUCAAGGCGAAAGCCGAAAAUUUUCAAGUAAAACAAAAAUGCCUAACAUAUAAACAAAGCGAAUUAUAAUACACUUGAAUAAUUUUGAACGAAAGGGAAUACGGUUCCAAUUCCGUAACCUGUUGAGUAUCCGUUUGUUAUUAAAUAUGGGCCUCGUGCUCAUCCUGGCAACAGGAACGACCAUAAAGAAGCCGUCGAGAGAUAUCGGAAGAGUUUUCUUUUCUGUUUUAUAGCCGUACUACAUGGAAGUCUUUCGCAGAGAGAUAUGGUAGAUGGGCUAGAAGAGCAUGACAUAUACUGUUGUGUCGAUAUUUCUCCUCGGACCUUGAAAAUUUAUGGUGGGGACACGCAAACUUCUCAACAGGCCGUACCAAUAUCCGCAGCUGGUCUCCAAGGUGAAGAGUCUCUAGUCGAUAGAAUAAUGUAGGUAAGGGAAGUCGGCAAAUUAGAUCCGUAACUUCGGGAUAAGGAUUGGCUCUGAAGAUUGAGAUAGUCGGGCUUGAUUGGGAAACAAUAACAUGGUUUAUGUGCUCGUUCUGGGUAAAUAGAGUUUCUAGCAUUUAUGUUAGUUACUUGUUCCCCGGAUAGUUUAGUUACGUAGCCAAUUGUGGAACUUUCUUGCUAAAAUUUUUAAGAAUACUAUUUGGUUAAACCAAUUAGUUCUUAUUAAUUAUAACGAUUAUCAAUUAACAAUCAAUUCAGAACUGGCACGGACUUGGGGAAUCCGACUGUCUAAUUAAAACAAAGCAUUGUGAUGGCCUAGCGGGUGUUGACACAAUGUGAUUUCUGCCCAGUGCUCUGAAUGUCAAAGUGAAGAAAUUCAAGUAAGCGCGGGUCAACGGCGGGAGUAACUAUGACUCUCUUAAGGUAGCCAAAUGCUCGUCAUCUAAUUAGGACGCGCAUGAAUGGAUUAACGAGAUUCCUACUGUCCCUAUCUACUAUCUAGCGAAACCACAGCCAAGGAACGGGCUUGGAAUAAUUAGCGGGGAAAGAAGACCCUUUUGAGCUUGACUCUAAUCUGGCAGUGUAAGGAGACAUAAGAGGUGUAGAAUAAGUGGGAGAUAUUAGACCUCGGUUUGGUAUCGUCAAUGAAAUACACUACUCUUAUUGUUUCCUUACUUACUUGAUUAAAUGGAACGUGUAUCAUUUCCUAGCCAUUAUACGGAUAUAUUUAUUAUAUCUUAUGGUAUUGGGUUUUGAUGCAAGCUUCUUGAUCAAAGUAUCACGAGUUUGUUAUAUAAUCGCAAACAAAUUCUUUAAUAAAACGAUGCAUUUAUGUAUUUUUGAUUUGAAAAUUUGGUAUAACUCCAAUUACUCAGGUAUGAUCCAAUUCAAGGACAUUGCCAGGUAGGGAGUUUGACUGGGGCGGUACAUCUCUCAAUAAUAACGGAGGUGUCCCAAGGCCAGCUCAGUGCGGACAGAAACCACACAUAGAGCAAAAGGGCAAAUGCUGACUUGAUCUCGGUGUUCAGUACACACAGGGACAGCAAAAGCUCGGCCUAUCGAUCCUUUUGGUUUAAAGAGUUUUUAACAAGAGGUGUCAGAAAAGUUACCAUAGGGAUAACUGGCUUGUGGCGGCCAAGCGUUCAUAGCGACGUCGCUUUUUGAUCCUUCGAUGUCGGCUCUUCCUAUCAUUGUGAAGCAAAAUUCACCAAGCGUUGGAUUGUUCACCCAUGCAAGGGAACGUGAGCUGGGUUUAGACCGUCGUGAGACAGGUUAGUUUUACCCUACUAAUGACAAAACGUUGUUGCGACAGCAUUCCUGCGUAGUACGAGAGGAACCGCAGGUACGGACCAAUGGCACAAUACUUGUUCGAGCGAACAGUGGUAUGACGCUACGUCCGUUGGAUUAUGCCUGAACGCCUCUAAGGUCGUAUCCGUGCUGGACUGCAAUGAUAAAUAAGGGCAAUUUGCAUUGU
RNAcentral lists this ribosomal RNA (3059 nucleotides) under Drosophila melanogaster (fruit fly). RNAcentral's name for it is "eukaryotic LSU rRNA". It matches the Rfam family "Eukaryotic large subunit ribosomal RNA", at positions 494 to 3183 of the family's 3401-position model. Lineage: Eukaryota; Metazoa; Arthropoda; Insecta; Diptera; Drosophilidae. The record is from RNAcentral.